GAUAAGCGUGGGGUCACUAGUUCGAAUCUAGUCAGGCCCACCAGUUAAAGGAGCAAUGUAUUGCGUAGUGCCUAGCGC
Molecule: transfer RNA, 78 nt
Filed under: uncultured bacterium 270
Lineage: Bacteria
Description: tRNA-Ile
Source: RNAcentral